UACGGAGGGGGCUAGCGUUGUUCGGAAUUACUGGGCGUAAAGCGCACGUAGGCGGACUGUUAAGUCGGGGGUGAAAUCCUGGGGCUCAACCUCAGAAUUGCCUCCGAUACUGGCAGUCUCGAGUGCGGGAGAGGUGAGUGGAAUUCCCAGUGUAGAGGUGAAAUUCGUAGAUAUUGGGAAGAACACCAGUGGCGAAGGCGGCUCACUGGCCCGUAACUGACGCUGAGGAGCGAAAGCGUGGGGAGCGAACAGG
Molecule: ribosomal RNA, 253 nt
Filed under: uncultured bacterium
Lineage: Bacteria
Description: partial 16S ribosomal RNA
Rfam family: Bacterial small subunit ribosomal RNA
Source: RNAcentral